AUCCACUCGUCCAAGCACAAUUGCAUAGACAGAACCUUUGGAGUGUGGAAGAUGAAUUGGCGGAUUCCACUCAAGAUGCCAAGCUACACCGAAACCCAAAAGAUUGUUAUUGCUGCUACUAUAACAUUGCACAAUUAUGUCCGCUUUCAUGAUGAAGAAGACAUUCACUUUGUUCGGUGUGACAGGGACCCGGACUAUGUGCCAACAAUUGCAGAAUGAUACAAGAAAUACAUUGUUCCUCCAAAUGCAUCAGAUACAUUGACUAUAGAUGAUAAUGCUACAUACAUGGAUGUGAACUUUAAGUCUAAAAUUGGACAGUGCAACUUCUUUGAGAGCGAGAGCGAGAGCGCCUCCUCCCCCAAGCCCACGCCGCUGGCUGCUCCGGCCGUGGCGGCCACCAGCCGCAGCUGCCCCCAUCCCCUGGGCAGCCGCCCCCCUCCAUGCCCUCCCCCGCCUCUUCCCGGGAUCCCGAGUCGCCACCGGCCGGUCUUCAAUGCCUCUCCCCUGCAGGUCUGGAUCCGUCCAUCGGGCCAUCCGAGGUGGCUGCCACCCCCUCCCCCUUGGUCGCGCGGGGGGAGGGCUCACUGA
Molecule: ribosomal RNA, 588 nt
Filed under: Triticum aestivum (bread wheat)
Lineage: Eukaryota; Viridiplantae; Streptophyta; Magnoliopsida; Poales; Poaceae
Description: partial small subunit ribosomal RNA
Source: RNAcentral